Molecule: ribosomal RNA, 774 nt
Filed under: uncultured Neocallimastigales
Lineage: Eukaryota; Fungi; Neocallimastigomycota; Neocallimastigomycetes; Neocallimastigales
Description: partial large subunit ribosomal RNA
Rfam family: Eukaryotic large subunit ribosomal RNA
Source: RNAcentral
CGCAUCUGUGCAUGCAGCAUAUCAAUAAGCGGAGGAAAAGAAACUAACAAGGAUUCCCCUAGUAACGGCGAGUGAAGCGGGAAGAGCUCAAAUUUGAAAUCUUAAAGGGUUUCCCUUUACGAAUUGUAGUUUAAAGAAGUGUUUUCUGUUGAGGUUUUGGUAAAAGUUCUUUGGAAUAGGACAUCAUAGAGGGUGAGAAUCCCGUAUUUGACCUUUACUUUCAACUUUGUGAUACACUUUCAAAGAGUCGGAUUGUUUGGGAAUGCAGUCCAAAAUGGGUGGUAAAUUUCAUCUAAAGCUAAAUAUUGGCGAGAGACCGAUAGCGAACAAGUACCGUGAGGGAAAGAUGAAAAGAACUUUGAAAAGAGAGUUAAACAGUACGUGAAAUUGUCAAAAGGGAAGCGUUUGACACCAGUGUUGUUUUUCUGAAAAUCAAUUAAAGAACUGUUAAUGCUAAGCUGUUUAGACUUUAUCAGCUAUCUGUUUAGUUUUGAGCUUUUCUUUAAUGCACUUUUCAGUUAACAAGUCAACAUCAAUUUCUUUUGCUGUAAAAAAGCUUGAGGAAGGUGGCUUGAGAUUCGUCUUAAGUGUUUAUAGCCUCUUGCCUAUGCAGUCGGAGAGAUUGAGGUCUGCAGCGUAGAUCCUUCGGGGCUAAAUGCAUUUGUGCUAAGUUAUAGCAUUUUAUAGACAACUUGUUGACUAUGAUUUGUCUUGUAGCUUACUCGCUUAUGUUAUUUUACCUACGCUUAGGAUGUUGAAUCUGUGCGAGACUAC